UACAGAGGGUGCGAGCGUUAAUCGGAAUUACUGGGCGUAAAGCGUGCGUAGACGGUUAUUUAAGUCGGAUGUGAAAGCCCCGGGCUCAACCUGGGAAUUGCAUUCGAGACUGGAUAGCUAGGGUGCGGUAGAGGGAAGCGGAAUUUCCGGUGUAGCGGUGAAAUGCGUAGAUAUCGGAAGGAACAUCAGUGGCGAAAGCGGCUUCCUGGACCAGCACCGACGUUCAGGCACGAAAGCGUGGGGAGCAAACAGG
Molecule: ribosomal RNA, 253 nt
Filed under: uncultured bacterium
Lineage: Bacteria
Description: partial 16S ribosomal RNA
Rfam family: Bacterial small subunit ribosomal RNA
Source: RNAcentral